This 990-nucleotide ribosomal RNA is filed under the name Streptococcus thermophilus. RNAcentral describes it as "bacterial SSU rRNA". It matches the Rfam family "Bacterial small subunit ribosomal RNA", at positions 139 to 1155 of the family's 1533-position model. The record is from RNAcentral. Lineage: Bacteria; Bacillati; Bacillota; Bacilli; Lactobacillales; Streptococcaceae.
GGGGAUAACUAUUGGAAACGAUAGCUAAUACCGCAUAACAAUGGAUGACACAUGUCAUUUAUUUGAAAGGGGCAAUUGCUCCACUACAAGAUGGACCUGCGUUGUAUUAGCUAGUAGGUGAGGUAAUGGCUCACCUAGGCGACGAUACAUAGCCGACCUGAGAGGGUGAUCGGCCACACUGGGACUGAGACACGGCCCAGACUCCUACGGGAGGCAGCAGUAGGGAAUCUUCGGCAAUGGGGGCAACCCUGACCGAAAGCUCUGUUGUAAGUCAAGAACGGGUGUGAGAGUGGAAAGUUCACACUGUGACGGUAGCUUACCAGAAAGGGACGGCUAACUACGUGCCAGCAGCCGCGGUAAUACGUAGGUCCCGAGCGUUGUCCGGAUUUAUUGGGCGUAAAGCGAGCGCAGGCGGUUUGAUAAGUCUGAAGUUAAAGGCUGUGGCUCAACCAUAGUUCGCUUUGGAAACUGUCAAACUUGAGUGCAGAAGGGGAGAGUGGAAUUCCAUGUGUAGCGGUGAAAUGCGUAGAUAUAUGGAGGAACACCGGUGGCGAAAGCGGCUCUCUGGUCUGUAACUGACGCUGAGGCUCGAAAGCGUGGGGAGCGAACAGGAUUAGAUACCCUGGUAGUCCACGCCGUAAACGAUGAGUGCUAGGUGUUGGAUCCUUUCCGGGAUUCAGUGCCGCAGCUAACGCAUUAAGCACUCCGCCUGGGGAGUACGACCGCAAGGUUGAAACUCAAAGGAAUUGACGGGGGCCCGCACAAGCGGUGGAGCAUGUGGUUUAAUUCGAAGCAACGCGAAGAACCUUACCAGGUCUUGACAUCCCGAUGCUAUUUCUAGAGAUAGAAAGUUACUUCGGUACAUCGGUGACAGGUGGUGCAUGGUUGUCGUCAGCUCGUGUCGUGAGAUGUUGGGUUAAGUCCCGCAACGAGCGCCACCCCUAUUGUUAGUUGCCAUCAUUCAGUUGGGCACUCUAGCGAAAUGGCGGU